Molecule: ribosomal RNA, 254 nt
Filed under: uncultured bacterium
Lineage: Bacteria
Description: partial 16S ribosomal RNA
Rfam family: Bacterial small subunit ribosomal RNA
Source: RNAcentral
UACGGGGGGAGCAAGCGUUGUUCGGAUUUACUGGGCGUAAAGGGCGCGUAGGCGGCCACCGCAAGUCGACUGUGAAAUCUCCGGGCUUAACCCGGAAAGGUCAGCCGAUACUGCGGGGCUAGAGUGCAGAAGGGGCAACUGGAAUUCUCGGUGUAGCGGUGAAAUGCGUAGAUAUCGGGAGGAACACCAGUGGCGAAGGCGAGUCUCUGGGCUGUAUCUGACGCUGAUGCGCGAAAGCUAGGGGAGCAAACGGG